Molecule: ribosomal RNA, 445 nt
Filed under: uncultured bacterium
Lineage: Bacteria
Description: bacterial SSU rRNA
Rfam family: Bacterial small subunit ribosomal RNA
Source: RNAcentral
ACCCAGACUCCUACGGAGGCAGCAGUGGGGAAUAUUGCACAAUGGGGGAAACCCUGAUGCAGCGACGCCGCGUGAGUGAAGAAGUAAUUCGUUAUGUAAAGCUCUAUCAGCAGGGGAGAAAAUGACGGUACCUGACUAAGAAGCCCCGGCUAACUACGUGCCAGCAGCCGCGGUAAUACGUAGGGGGCAAGCGUUAUCCGGAAUCACUGGGUGUAAAGGGAGCGUAGACGGCUGUGCAAGCCUGAAGUGAAAGGCGGGGGCCCAACCCCUGGACUGCUUUGGGAACUGUACGGCUGGAGUGCAGGAGAGGUAAGUGGAAUUCCUAGUGUAGCGGUGAAAUGCGUAGAUAUCAGGAGGAACAUCGGUGGCGUAAGCGCUUUACUGGGCCGUAAUUGACGCUGAGGAACGAAAGCCAGGGUAGCAAAUGGGAUUAGAUACCCGAGUA